Molecule: ribosomal RNA, 253 nt
Filed under: uncultured bacterium
Lineage: Bacteria
Description: partial 16S ribosomal RNA
Rfam family: Bacterial small subunit ribosomal RNA
Source: RNAcentral
UACGUAGGGUGCGAGCGUUGUUCGGAAUCAUUGGGCGUAAAGCGCGUGUAGGUGGUUAAGUAAGUCGGAUGUGAAAGCCCUCGGCUCAACCGGGGAAGUGCAUCCGAAACUACUCAGCUAGAGGACGGUAGAGGAAGGUGGAAUUCCUAGUGUAGAGGUGAAAUUCGUAGAUAUUAGGAGGAAUACCGGCGGCGAAGGCGGCCUUCUGGGCCGUUCCUGACACUGAGACGCGAAAGCGUGGGGAGCAAACAGG